Puntigrus tetrazona (Sumatra barb) is the source of this 234-nucleotide long non-coding RNA. RefSeq lists it as uncharacterized. Lineage: Eukaryota; Metazoa; Chordata; Actinopteri; Cypriniformes; Cyprinidae. The record is from RefSeq and is a predicted model, not a curated record. The transcript has 4 exons.
AUUAAGUGUCUCUGUUAUGUGCUGUGAAGUAUUCAUUUAUAAAUGUCUUUUCUUUGUUUGUUUAGAUUUGGUCAUUGAGCUUUAUCUCCGGAGCAAUUCUUGAGCAUUACGAGCACUACAAAUUCUCCACUGCACAAUAUCCAAUCUAUUCAACGAACAACCUACAUUCUUCUCUGCAGUUGAACGCCUGGUUUGGGAUUUUCUCAGAGCAGCAGUUCUUCUGUAUUGUUCUCC